GACGAACGCUGGCGGCGUGCUUAACACAUGCAAGUCGAACGGGCCCGCUCUCUUUUUUGGGGGUGGGUUGAGUGGCGAACGGGUGAGUAUCCCGUGAGUAACCUUCCCCCUGCUCCUGGAUAACUGCUUGAAAGGGCGGCUAAUACGGGGUGUGCCGUCUGGUCCGCAUGGGCCUGGUCGGGAUAGUUUCCUCUUCGUGUGUUUCGGUGGGUGAUGGGCUCGCGGCCUAUCAGCUUGUUGGUGGGGUGAUGGCCCACGAAGGCGGUGACGGGUGACCGGCGUGAGAGGGUGGGCGGCCACGCGGGGACUGAGACACGGGCCAGAGGCGGGAGGGAGGAAGCGGUGGGGGGUAGUGCACAAUGGGCGGAAGCCGGAUGCAGCGACGGCGAGUGAGGGAUGGAGGCCUUCGGGUUGGGAAGCUCUUUCGACGGUGGUGAAGGCCCUGUCCGUUGCGGCGGGGUUGACGGUAGCCGGGUAUGAAGCGCCGGCUAACUACGUG
RNAcentral lists this ribosomal RNA (499 nucleotides) under uncultured bacterium. RNAcentral's name for it is "partial 16S ribosomal RNA". It matches the Rfam family "Bacterial small subunit ribosomal RNA", at positions 28 to 507 of the family's 1533-position model. The record is from RNAcentral.